CUUCUUUAAGUAACGGCGAGUGAACGGAGAUUAGCCCAGCACCGAAGCCUAUCCUUAUUUGCGGACAGGGCAAUGUGGUGUUUAGAUGCUAGCCUGGGGAUACUAUUCCACUUGAAGUCCAGCUCCGAUCAUGGCUUGGAUUUGUCCCAUAGAGGGUGAAAGGCCCGUACGAGUGGAAAUUAUGCAUUGUAGUAUCCCUUAGAUGCUGGUGUCUUGGAGUCGGAUUGCUUGAGAAUGCACUCCAAAGCGGGUGGUAAACUCCAUCCAAGGCUAAAUACUGGCACGAGUCCGAUAGUAGACAAGUACCGGGAGGGAAAGUUGAAAAGUACUCUGAAGAGAGGGGAGGGCCCC
This 351-nucleotide ribosomal RNA is filed under the name Thaparocleidus sudhakari. RNAcentral's name for it is "eukaryotic LSU rRNA". It matches the Rfam family "Eukaryotic large subunit ribosomal RNA", at positions 73 to 399 of the family's 3401-position model. Lineage: Eukaryota; Metazoa; Platyhelminthes; Monogenea; Dactylogyridea; Ancylodiscoididae. The record is from RNAcentral.